Molecule: transfer RNA, 67 nt
Filed under: Melanostoma scalare
Lineage: Eukaryota; Metazoa; Arthropoda; Insecta; Diptera; Syrphidae
Also listed under: 2 other names
Description: tRNA-Trp
Source: RNAcentral
AAGAUUUUAAGUUAAAUAAAACUAAUAGCCUUCAAAGUUAUAAAUAUAAGAUAUCUUUUAAAUCUUA